Molecule: long non-coding RNA, 395 nt
Organism: Hypanus sabinus (Atlantic stingray)
Lineage: Eukaryota; Metazoa; Chordata; Chondrichthyes; Myliobatiformes; Dasyatidae
Exons: 3
Source: RefSeq, a predicted model, not a curated record
CAGCGCCUGUGAUCAUAACACUCAGCUGAUGCAGCCAUGUCCUCAUCUCUCACAAGCACUCCACCUUUGCCAAGCUGGUGAACAGCAUCAAUUGGUCAGCCUGAAACCUGUUGGUCUUCCAGCACAGUAGUAAGCUGAAUGGAAAUAUUUGUGCUAAUUGGACCAAUGGUGCCAUCUUCAGCCGGAAGUGGAAUUACAUCAAUCAGAGCCAGACUGCAUCCUCUGAGGGAAUGGAAUCUCUCAACUUUUGCAGCCUACAAGACAGGAGGCGCUGUCUCGAGACGGCAGCAUCCAUCGUCAAAGAUCUCGACCACACAGAUUACUCUAUGCCAUCUUUCCACGGCUACCAUCCGGCAGAAGGCAGUGAAGCCCGAGUCCCGUAGUGCCAAUCCUGC